This 1045-nucleotide ribosomal RNA is filed under the name Limosilactobacillus fermentum. Its description in RNAcentral is "bacterial SSU rRNA". It matches the Rfam family "Bacterial small subunit ribosomal RNA", at positions 396 to 1434 of the family's 1533-position model. Lineage: Bacteria; Bacillati; Bacillota; Bacilli; Lactobacillales; Lactobacillaceae. The record is from RNAcentral.
ACCGCGUGAGUGAAGAAGGGUUUCGGCUCGUAAAGUUUUGUUGUUAAAGAAGAACACGUAUGAGAGUAACUGUUCAUACGUUGACGGUAUUUAACCAGAAAGUCACGGCUAACUACGUGCCAGCAGCCGCGGUAAUACGUAGGUGGCAAGCGUUAUCCGGAUUUAUUGGGCGUAAAGAGAGUGCAGGCGGUUUUCUAAGUCUGAUGUGAAAGCCUUCGGCUUAACCGGAGAAGUGCAUCGGAAACUGGAUAACUUGAGUGCAGAAGAGGGUAGUGGAACUCCAUGUGUAGCGGUGGAAUGCGUAGAUAUAUGGAAGAACACCAGUGGCGAAGGCGGCUACCUGGUCUGCAACUGACGCUGAGACUCGAAAGCAUGGGUAGCGAACAGGAUUAGAUACCCUGGUAGUCCAUGCCGUAAACGAUGAGUGCUAGGUGUUGGAGGGUUUCCGCCCUUCAGUGCCGGAGCUAACGCAUUAAGCACUCCGCCUGGGGAGUACGACCGCAAGGUUGAAACUCAAAGGAAUUGACGGGGGCCCGCACAAGCGGUGGAGCAUGUGGUUUAAUUCGAAGCUACGCGAAGAACCUUACCAGGUCUUGACAUCUUGCGCCAACCCUAGAGAUAGGGCGUUUCCUUCGGGAACGCAAUGACAGGUGGUGCAUGGUCGUCGUCAGCUCGUGUCGUGAGAUGUUGGGUUAAGUCCCGCAACGAGCGCAACCCUUGUUACUAGUUGCCAGCAUUAAGUUGGGCACUCUAGUGAGACUGCCGGUGACAAACCGGAGGAAGGUGGGGACGACGUCAGAUCAUCAUGCCCCUUAUGACCUGGGCUACACACGUGCUACAAUGGACGGUACAACGAGUCGCGAACUCGCGAGGGCAAGCAAAUCUCUUAAAACCGUUCUCAGUUCGGACUGCAGGCUGCAACUCGCCUGCACGAAGUCGGAAUCGCUAGUAAUCGCGGAUCAGCAUGCCGCGGUGAAUACGUUCCCGGGCCUUGUACACACCGCCCGUCACACCAUGAGAGUUUGUAACACCCAAAGUCGGUGGG